CGAAACGAGAUCGAAAUUGGAAAACUCACCUCAUCCUAACACUUGCCGACCGCAAGUGGAGAUCGGCUCGCGCGCUAACUUGCUCUCUUCUUUCUUAUUAAAACGCUCAAACGGGAUGUGAUGGCCGCGCGACGUUGAUUCGACGUGGACUCGAUGUGAAAAGAGUCGACGGCGAGAAGCGCGAAGGGCUGAUUGAUAAUUGUCGUCUAUAAUAGAAGCCCUUUGAGAGCGACCGGAUGUAUUACGAGCGAGGCUCGAGAAGAGUAUGCGAGAGAUAAUGAUGAGUCCCUAAUAUAAAUAAUAGAUGAAAUUUGCCUUCUCUCGAUGUGAUGAUAAUACCCGCACGGUCAUCGUCGUCGUCGUCGUCGUCGUCGUCGUCGUCGUCGUCGUCGUCGUCGUCGUCGUCGCCCGCGCGCGCGCACGAGCGCGAGGUGCGCGUACAAGAUAUUUUUCCGCGACGUGAUUUCGACGUGAAAGAAAGUAAAGACGCCCACUGCUGAAGAAACGAACGAUCCGUUUGCUUCGCGCGGAAAUCGCAAGCGAUACAUACGCAAUUAUUAAGAUCCAAUAUAUGCGGUUUUCCUGAGCCGCGGCACCGUCAAGUCUCCCUUCUUCUUGGUAUUCUCACACACUGCUUCUUAUCUCGGCAUUCUGCUAAAUAUUCUGCUUCUUCCACAUGCGAGAUCACUUCCGAGAUCUUCGGUACGGAAUGCGGAACUUCCUGCGGGGGCUCAAGUCACCCCUUCCCUCUUUUUUUUCCUUUUCUUUUUAAACGAGAGCCUUCGAAUGCUUGAUCCAACACGACUUCGAGGAAGGGCUCGCACGGAUGCAGAGAUUUCUGCCGUACCCCGUCGCGAUCUACCCCACAAUGAUGCUCGGUCCCCCUCGAGCAUGAACGCACCUAUCUUUCCAUUCAACAAAUUAAUGCCACAGUGUCACUCUAUAUUUAGGCUGCUCGUACGACACGAAGAGAUCGGUCGUACGCGCGCGAAUCGCGCCGACCGAAUGCGAUGUAACGUUUUCCGUUUUUCCUUUUCUUAUCAUAUGAAAUUAUCAUCUCUUUCAAUACGAUAACGCGAUU
Solenopsis invicta (red fire ant) is the source of this 1081-nucleotide long non-coding RNA. RefSeq lists it as uncharacterized. NCBI's taxonomy places the organism in Eukaryota, Metazoa, Arthropoda, Insecta, Hymenoptera, Formicidae. The record is from RefSeq and is a predicted model, not a curated record. The transcript has 3 exons.